Molecule: ribosomal RNA, 441 nt
Filed under: uncultured bacterium
Lineage: Bacteria
Description: partial 16S ribosomal RNA
Rfam family: Bacterial small subunit ribosomal RNA
Source: RNAcentral
UGGGGAAUAUUGCACAAUGGGCGCAAGCCUGAUGCAGCCAUGCCGCGUGUGUGAAGAAGGCCUCGGGUUGUAAAGCACUUUCAGCGAGGAGGAAGGUGGUGAACUUAAUACGUUCAUCAAUUGACGUUACUCGCAGAAGAAGCACCGGCUAACUCCGUGCCAGCAGCCGCGGUAAUACGGAGGGUGCAAGCGUUAAUCGGAAUUACUGGGCGUAAAGCGCACGCAGGCGGUUUGUUAAGUCAGAUGUGAAAUCCCCGGGCUCAACCUGGGAACUGCAUUUGAAACUGGCAAGCUAGAGUCUCGUAGAGGGGGGCUAGAAUUCCAGGUGUAGCGGUGAAAUGCGUAGAGAUCUGGAGGAAUACCGGUGGCGAAGGCGGCCCCCCUGGACGAAGGCUGACGCUCAGGUGCGAAAGGCGUGGGGGCAGCAAACAGGAUUAGAUA